AUGGAAGCAGAUGCCGCGGCCACCUUGCUAGCCGGUAUACUCUCCAAGAGAGGAAUUGACGCACCGGUGAAGCAGUUGCAGAGGUUGAUUAAACUGGGGCAGCAAUGGGAACAUUUUUCGGAUACACACUUGUUAUUUUCCGUAUCGGAAUGGCGAGAUUUCGGAGAGACAAUGUGGCAUAAGACCAUCGAGGGUGGAGACAAGGACAAGAAGGAGGUUAAGGCGGUGCGAGCUCGACCGUCAGUCCCUCCGCCACCGCCCCCCCCGCAGCCCUUGCCUCCGUCCGCUCCUGAGGGAGCCAGCAGUGCGCCAUGCCCAGGGCCCUCGUCGCCGCCCGAACCAGGGGAGGGCAGCACAGCCCCGCCGAGGCUAUGGCGGGGGCCCCUGACAUUGUUAUCUCUGGAGUCGUCAGGCACAGCCUCGCCUACCACCCCCAUGGGGACAAAGCCGUCCACGGCUCAACUAUUAAAAAUGUUUGAGCAGCUGUCAGUAAAACUGGAAAAGCUGGAACUGAGGGACAGGAAAGUUGUUCGCGCACUUUGGAACACCGUACUAGAGACUUUAAUGGCAAUGAGCCGGUCUGUCGGGGAGGCACUGCAAAGGGUGUGGGAGAACUCCGAGGGGGGGGCAUCGUCAGCGCCGUCACCCGCUGCGUCCCAGAAAGCGGAGGUUUCCUCAGAGCCGGCUGGUCCGAGCUCUGAGGCAAACGCGGACGUGCACCCGGAGGAGGCUCAAAGAGGGGCGGCGGCCGCGCCCCUUGCUGACCUCAGAGACUUGGGCGGAAAGGAGGGCCGACCCCCUCCUAGUGCUCCCCCCCCGCCGCUGCCUAGCAACAAUCCCCUGUACCCACCGUUGCCGUUGUCUACGCCGCCUCAGCGGCCGCCGCCUCUACCCUCCUUCAACGAGACCGCCCGCUCACGCCAGACUCCAUCAGAGUACCCCCCACUGCUUUCGUCCAGCGAGUCUUCGGGGGACAACACGCCUGACACCAGAAAUAAAGUACCACCGUCACCAGAAGAAACCGUAAGAGUGCUACAGGAGCUAUCGGAAUGCCUGAAAAAAGUGGAGCUGCAGGCGCAAGAGAAAGAGGGAGGAGUACCUCCCUGCUUAAUGAAUCCCCUUGCCGGACCUCCAAGGGAGUCCCGCUGGAGUGGUAUUAUCAAGGACGCUAUAACAGAAGGACAAUGGAAGCCUGUUGCGGGGUCCGAGGGCCCCACAGAACUGGCGUUCCCCGUGCUACAACAGAAUGGUCAGGGGAAAUGGGAACCACAUGAUUGGAAAAAUUUUACAACAAGCCGCCAAGGGUUGGGAGCCCUUGGAGCUGAGGCAAAAGGGGGGCACCCAAUUUGGAAUAAUGGUACUCAAAAAAAAAAAAACCMCCAAUGGUGGAAAAAUGUAACAGGGACCAGGACCGCCACCCGUAGUAAACGGGCGGCCGUAGGGCUCUCACCAAACUGUGAUGAUAAGGUUACCCUACUCAGCCCCACUGAAAGAGUGUUUUUGUCUCUCUUCGUGCCUGGGGCAACAGCAGGCAACGCCUUAACCUAUUAG
Long non-coding RNA from Apteryx haastii (Great spotted kiwi), 1551 nucleotides. Lineage: Eukaryota; Metazoa; Chordata; Aves; Apterygiformes; Apterygidae. The record is from Ensembl.